UGAGGAUGAGGAGGAAGGUUGGCGGGAGCGACUAGCAGGCCGGACCCGCUGCGAAGCGGUGCUGUCGCCCACCGGUCCCUCACGCCAAUUGUCGGGCACCUGCCCGAAGCCAAAGGGGUGCCGCGUCUGCCCCCGAACCGUCUCGGAGCCCGGGCGCGGCGGUACGGCCGGUGCCUGCCUCCGAACGCUGCCCGCUCCGCCGGUCACCGCUCCCGCCAGCAACAAUCGGUUCCCUCCGGGUCUCUCUUGCCCCGCCGCCCUGGCACGGCGCACACCUUCAGGAUUUGGGUCGAAUUCGGCUGGUUUCGGUCUUAUACGACGGCCUCGCAAUAGGGGUCGGGCUUAUGGAAAGCCCUGAUGGGGCAACGUGACGCAAUCCUGACUGCUUGCAAGGACCCCAUUUUCCCCCUAAAGGGACCCAGUUUGCACUGAUGACUGUCCCACGCAGAGGCCUGAUACCAAGGUGAGGGCCUGGGUGAGCACCUUCACUCACUCACAAAAGCUUUCAAUGGGUUUCAAAGGGGAAACUGCCAAAAAAAAAAAAAAAAAAGGAGUUUUCCCCCAGAACUUGUCUCUUUA
Long non-coding RNA from Strigops habroptila (Kakapo), 579 nucleotides. RefSeq lists it as uncharacterized. The record is from RefSeq and is a predicted model, not a curated record. NCBI's taxonomy places the organism in Eukaryota, Metazoa, Chordata, Aves, Psittaciformes, Psittacidae. The transcript is spliced from 2 exons.